Drosophila innubila is the source of this 242-nucleotide long non-coding RNA. RefSeq lists it as uncharacterized. Lineage: Eukaryota; Metazoa; Arthropoda; Insecta; Diptera; Drosophilidae. The transcript is spliced from 2 exons. The record is from RefSeq and is a predicted model, not a curated record.
CUUAAAGUGCCUCACAAUCAGAAUGAAGUAUAUACCGCUUUGCUUAUUUAUGCUGGCAUUUUUUGUCAGUUUAGUGACUGCAUCUGUUUCCGUUACUGUGGAGGCGCAUAAUGUCGAUAGAUUAGAAGUCAAUGACACUUGCUAUAAAUGCAUUUUUAGCACUACUAAUAAUUCAGCAAAAGUGUCUUAUAAAGUCUGAGAUUAUAUUCAAAUAAAUCGUUAAUUCAUAUAGCUAUAAAAUA